This 742-nucleotide ribosomal RNA is filed under the name uncultured bacterium. Its description in RNAcentral is "bacterial SSU rRNA". It matches the Rfam family "Bacterial small subunit ribosomal RNA", at positions 8 to 796 of the family's 1533-position model. The record is from RNAcentral.
AGAGUUUGAUCCUGGCUCAGAACGAACGCUGGCGGCAGGCUUAACACAUGCAAGUCGAACGAUGUAGCAAUACAUAGUGGCGCACGGGUGAGUAACGCGUGGGAAUAUACCUUAUAGUGGGGAAUAACUUUGGGAAACUAAAGCUAAUACCGCAUACGCCCGAGAGGGGAAAGAUUUAUCGCUAUAAGAUUAGCCCGCGUGAGAUUAGGUAGUUGGUGGGGUAAUGGCCUACCAAGCCUACGAUCUCUAGCUGGUCUGAGAGGAUGAUCAGCCACACUGGAACUGAGACACGGUCCAGACUCCUACGGGAGGCAGCAGUGGGGAAUAUUGGGCAAUGGAGGAAACUCUGACCCAGCCAUGCCGCGUAAAUGAUGAAGGCCUUAGGGUUGUAAAGUUCUUUCGCCGAUGAAGAUAAUGACGGUAGUCGGAGAAGAAGCCCCGGCUAACUUCGUGCCAGCAGCCGCGGUAAUACGAAGGGGGCUAGCGUUGUUCGGAAUUACUGGGCGUAAAGCGAGCGUAGGUUGCUCGAUAAGUCAGUGGUGAAAGCCCAGAGCUCAACUCUGGAACUGCCAUUGAAACUGUCGAGCUGGAAUCUCAGAGGGGGUAGCGGAAUUCCAAAUGUAGGGGUGAAAUCCGUAGAUAUUUGGAGGAACACCGGUGGCGAAGGCGGCUACCUGGAUGAGUAUUGACACUGAGGCUCGAAAGCGUGGGGAUCAAACAGGAUUAGAUACCCCGGUAGUCC